Long non-coding RNA from Oreochromis aureus, 465 nucleotides. RefSeq lists it as uncharacterized. NCBI's taxonomy places the organism in Eukaryota, Metazoa, Chordata, Actinopteri, Cichliformes, Cichlidae. The record is from RefSeq and is a predicted model, not a curated record. The transcript has 4 exons.
UACAGACGACAUGAGGUGGUAAACCAAGAACCAAGCAUUCAGGAACUGAAGGACAGAUGGCCUGCACUCUUCACACAGAAAGAGAUAAAUACAGAGUUCCAGAGGCUCAUGGCUGUUCCUCUUGAGUGGAAGUUCAUGGCCCAGUUAGACAUGCACUCAAGUCAGCUGAUCAAAGUCAUACGUGCCAAAGGAGGAGCAACACGCCAAAAGGUUGCGAACAUCAUGGACACAUUGGACCAGACUGUGGACAUUAAUCAUCGGAGGAAUGUGUGCUGAAAGCCCUCACCAUCUUCCUGGGAGAAGAUGCAGAUGGCCUGAUCAAGGAAUACCUUGACUGUGGAGCAGAUGAUGUUCAGAGGGACCUGGAGGUCAUCAUGGCAGUGUAUGUGAUUCGGAAGGAGGGGGAGGGACUGCAGGAGCCACCUGAAGACAUUGGCAUUGUCAUUGAGGGUGUGGAAGUGUUGC